This 442-nucleotide ribosomal RNA is filed under the name uncultured bacterium. RNAcentral's name for it is "partial 16S ribosomal RNA". It matches the Rfam family "Bacterial small subunit ribosomal RNA", at positions 338 to 795 of the family's 1533-position model. The record is from RNAcentral.
CCUACGGGGGGCAGCAGUGGGGAAUAUUGCACAAUGGGCGAAAGCCUGAUGCAGCAACGCCGCGUGAAGGAAGAAGGGUUUCGGCUCGUAAACUUCUAUCAACAGGGACGAAAGAAAUGACGGUACCUGAAUAAGAAGCCCCGGCUAACUACGUGCCAGCAGCCGCGGUAAUACGUAGGGGGCAAGCGUUAUCCGGAUUUAUUGGGUUUAAAGGGUGCGUAGGCGGACUGUUAAGUCUGCGGUAAAAGCUCGGGGCUCAACCCCGGCGAGCCGUUGAAACUGGCUGUCUUGAGAUGUCGAGAGGUAUGCGGAAUGCGCAGUGUAGCGGUGAAAUGCUUAGAUAUUGCGAAGAACUCCGAUUGCGAAGGCAGCAUACCGGCGGCGAUCUGACGCUGAGGCACGAAAGCGUGGGUAUCGAACAGGAUUAGAUACCCCUGUAGUC